CCUACGGGAGGCAGCAGUGGGGGAUAUUGCACAAUGGGGGAAACCCUGAUGCAGCGACGCCGCGUGAGUGAAGAAGUAUUUCGGUAUGUAAAGCUCUAUCAGCAGGGAAGAAAAAAGACGGUACCUGACUAAGAAGCCCCGGCUAACUACGUGCCAGCAGCCGCGGUAAUACGUAGGGGGCAAGCGUUAUCCGGAUUUACUGGGGGGAAAGGGAGCGUAGACGGCAAUACAAGUCGGAAGUGAAAUACCCGGUCUCAACCUGGGAACUGCUUUGGAAACUGUAUGGCUGGAGUGCUGGAGAGGUAAGCGGAAUUCCUAGUGUAGCGGUGAAAUGCGUAGAUAUUAGGAGGAACACCAGUGGCGAAGGCGGCUUACUGGACAGUAACUGACGUUGAGGCUCGAAAGCGUGGGGAGCAAACAGGAUUAGAUACCCUUGUAGUC
RNAcentral lists this ribosomal RNA (441 nucleotides) under uncultured bacterium. Its description in RNAcentral is "partial 16S ribosomal RNA". It matches the Rfam family "Bacterial small subunit ribosomal RNA", at positions 338 to 795 of the family's 1533-position model. The record is from RNAcentral.